GAUGAACGCUGGCGGCGUGCCUAAUACAUGCAAGUCGAGCGAACAGACGAGGAGCUUGCUCCUCUGACGUUAGCGGCGGACGGGUGAGUAACACGUGGAUAACCUACCUAUAAGACUGGGAUAACUUCGGGAAACCGGACCUAAUACCGGAUAAUAUAUUGAACCGCAUGGUUCAAUAGUGAAAGACGGUUUUGCUGUCACUUAUAGAUGGAUCCGCGCCGCAUUAGCUAGUUGGUAAGGUAACGGCUUACCAAGGCAACGAUGCGUAGCCGACCUGAGAGGGUGAUCGGCCACACUGGAACUGAGACACGGUCCAGACUCCUACGGGAGGCAGCAGUAGGGAAUCUUCCGCAAAGGGCGAAAGCCUGACGGAGCAACGCCGCGUGAGUGAUGAAGGUCUUCGGAUCGUAAAACUCUGUUAUUAGGGAAGAACAAAUGUGUAAGUAACUAUGCACGUCUUGACGGUACCUAAUCAGAAAGCCACGGCUAACUACGUG
RNAcentral lists this ribosomal RNA (497 nucleotides) under uncultured bacterium. Its description in RNAcentral is "partial 16S ribosomal RNA". It matches the Rfam family "Bacterial small subunit ribosomal RNA", at positions 28 to 507 of the family's 1533-position model. The record is from RNAcentral.